GUGUCAGCCGCCGCGGUAAGACAGAGGGUGCAAACGUUGUUCGGAAUUACUGGGCGUAAAGCGCGUGUAGGCGGCUCGGAAAGUCGGGUGUGAAAGCCCUGGGCUUAACCCAGGAAGUGCACUCGAAACUUCCGAGCUGGAGUCCUGGAGAGGAAGGCGGAAUUCUCGGUGUAGAGGUGAAAUUCGUAGAUAUCGAGAGGAACACCGGUGGCGAAGGCGGCCUUCUGGACAGUGACUGACGCUGAGACGCGAAAGCGUGGGGAGCAAACAGGAUUAGAUACCCCGGUAGUCC
This 292-nucleotide ribosomal RNA is filed under the name uncultured bacterium. Its description in RNAcentral is "partial 16S ribosomal RNA". It matches the Rfam family "Bacterial small subunit ribosomal RNA", at positions 505 to 796 of the family's 1533-position model. The record is from RNAcentral.